This 468-nucleotide ribosomal RNA is filed under the name uncultured bacterium. Its description in RNAcentral is "partial 16S ribosomal RNA". It matches the Rfam family "Bacterial small subunit ribosomal RNA", at positions 28 to 507 of the family's 1533-position model. The record is from RNAcentral.
GACGAACGCUGGCGGCGUGCUUAACACAUGCAAGUCGAACGGAAAGGCCCUGCGUUUGUGGGGUGCUCGAGUGGCGAACGGGUGAGUAACACGUGAGUAACCUGCCCUUGACUUUGGGAUAACUUCAGGAAACUGGGGCUAAUACCGGAUAGGAGCUCCUGCUGCAUGGUGGGGGUUGGAAAGUUUCGGCGGUUGGGGAUGGACUCGCGGCUUAUCAGCUUGUUGGUGGGGUAGUGGCUUACCAAGGCUUUGACGGGUAGCCGGCCUGAGAGGGUGACCGGCCACAUGGGGACUGAGGGACGGCCCAGACUCCUACGGGAGGCAGCAGUGGGGAAUAUUACACAAUGGGCGGAAGCCUGAUGCAGCAACGCCGCGUGCGGGAUGACGGCCUUCGGGUUGUAAACCGCUUUCGCCUGUGACGAAGCGUGAGUGACGGUAAUGGGUAAAGAAGCACCGGCUAACUACGUG